GACGAACGCUGGCGGCGUGCCUAAUACAUGCAAGUCGAGCGGACGAAUCGAAAGCUUGCUUUUGAUUCGUUAGCGGCGGACGGGUGAGUAACACGUGGGCAACCUGCCCUGUAGACGGGGAUAACACCGAGAAAUCGGUGCUAAUACCGGAUAACACGAAAUGUCGCAUGACGUUUCGUUGAAAGACGGCGCAAGCUGCCGCUACAGGAUGGGCCCGCGGCGCAUUAGCUAGUUGGUGAGGUAACGGCUCACCAAGGCGACGAUACGUAGCCGACCUGAGAGGGUGAUCGGCCACACUGGCACUGAGACACGGCCCAGACUCCUACGGGAGGCAGCAGUAGGGAAUCUUCCGCAAUGGACGAAAGUCUGACGGAGCAACGCCGCGUGAGCGAAGAAGGCCUUCGGGUCGUAAAGCUCUGUUGUUAGGGAAGAACAAGUAACGCAGUAACUGGCGUUAUCGUGACGGUACCUAAAGAGAAAGCCACGGCUAACUACGUG
RNAcentral lists this ribosomal RNA (498 nucleotides) under uncultured bacterium. RNAcentral describes it as "partial 16S ribosomal RNA". It matches the Rfam family "Bacterial small subunit ribosomal RNA", at positions 28 to 507 of the family's 1533-position model. The record is from RNAcentral.